UACGUAGGGACCGAGCGUUGUCCGGAUUCAUUGGGCGUAAAGAGCUCGUAGGCGGCCACUCAAGUCGAAUGUGAAACCUCGAGGCUUAACCUCGAGCCUGCAUUCGAUACUGGGUGGCUAGAGUCUGGUAGGGGGAUCUGGAAUUCCUGGUGUAGCGGUGGAAUGCGCAGAUAUCAGGAGGAACACCGGUGGCGAAGGCGGCUCGCUGGGCCGUUCCUGACGCUGAGACGCGAAAGCUAGGGGAGCGAACAGG
RNAcentral lists this ribosomal RNA (253 nucleotides) under uncultured bacterium. RNAcentral's name for it is "partial 16S ribosomal RNA". It matches the Rfam family "Bacterial small subunit ribosomal RNA", at positions 524 to 776 of the family's 1533-position model. The record is from RNAcentral.